UGCUUACCUGGCAGGGGAGAUAACAUGAUCACAAAGAU
Molecule: small nuclear RNA, 38 nt
Filed under: Cervus elaphus hippelaphus
Lineage: Eukaryota; Metazoa; Chordata; Mammalia; Artiodactyla; Cervidae
Source: RNAcentral